Long non-coding RNA from Aegilops tauschii subsp. strangulata, 592 nucleotides. RefSeq lists it as uncharacterized. Lineage: Eukaryota; Viridiplantae; Streptophyta; Magnoliopsida; Poales; Poaceae. The record is from RefSeq and is a predicted model, not a curated record.
AGCAUAAUAGGUUGCUACUGCUGCACCUAUUAUUUGAUUUCUCUCAAUGUUUCAAUCAGUUUAUCUAAAGCAUGAUUUUAAUAUGCAAUUUUAUCAGUCCGAGAUUACCUGAAUGAUUCGUGGAAAUUAGAAUGUGGGGAUCUCAAAGAAUGUUUCACAAGAAAAACAAAUAUUGGCCAUUUCCAAACUUGCUCGGUGGUCGAGGUACUAUAGAGGACAUCAGUAGAAUGAAAGCAAGAGCAACCUGACAACAUUAUUGAUAGUCAACUUCCAUUAUCAGCAGCUUCACACGUGUAUAUCUUUCUUUUGGAAAUGGAAGUUGUUGUUUCUUCCCAGAACUAGGAAGGUGCGGAUAAUAAGAGUUGUUGACAGAGGCAACCUGCAUAUGUGUAAACAGUGGCUAUGGUGGCUCAAAGGGAAGCAGCGGCUGCUCCAUGGAAACACGCAACUUAGUGAUGUACUUUUUGUUUCUAGAUUUUGUUCACUCUCAUUAAAUUUUAAGCAAGAAAAUCCGCUACCCUGCAAAAAGUUCUUCCAACAAAUAUUUUUGUGUGUGCAGCUAAGAUCAAUCUUCCUAUUCAUUCAUUGCACG